AAGUCGUAACAAGGUUUCCGUAGGUGAACCUGCGGAAGGAUCAUUAUCGAUUCAACCAAAUGAGAGGGGAGUUGUUGUAGCUGUGCUGGUCUUCUAACGGAGACAUGUGCACGCUCGACUUCUUCCUUUCUUCAUUUACACACCUGUGAACUUGUUGUAGGGUGUCUCGCAAGAGAUGCUCUAUGUCUUUUCAUAUACUCCAAUACUAGUCUAUAGAAUGUCAUCUUUUUGCUCUCGUCAGAGACAAAAAUAAAACCUUUAUAACUUUCAGCAACGGAUCUCUUGGCUCUC
RNAcentral lists this unclassified non-coding RNA (291 nucleotides) under Coniophora marmorata. Its description in RNAcentral is "partial internal transcribed spacer region". The stretch from base 1 to 46 matches the Rfam family "Eukaryotic small subunit ribosomal RNA", at positions 1786 to 1831 of the family's 1831-position model. Lineage: Eukaryota; Fungi; Basidiomycota; Agaricomycetes; Boletales; Coniophoraceae. The record is from RNAcentral.